RNAcentral lists this ribosomal RNA (703 nucleotides) under Vibrio cholerae. RNAcentral describes it as "partial 23S ribosomal RNA". It matches the Rfam family "Bacterial large subunit ribosomal RNA", at positions 1 to 751 of the family's 2925-position model. The record is from RNAcentral. Lineage: Bacteria; Pseudomonadati; Pseudomonadota; Gammaproteobacteria; Vibrionales; Vibrionaceae.
GUUGUAUGGUUAAGUGACUAAGCGUACACGGUGGAUGCCUGGGCAGUCAGAGGCGAUGAAGGACGUACUAACUUGCGAUAAGCGCAGAUAAGGCAGUAAGAGCCGUUUGAGUCUGCGAUUUCCGAAUGGGGAAACCCAACUGCAUAAGCAGUUACUGUUAACUGAAUACAUAGGUUAACAGAGCAAACCGGGGGAACUGAAACAUCUAAGUACCCCGAGGAGAAGAAAUCAACCGAGAUUCCGGUAGUAGCGGCGAGCGAACCUGGAUUAGCCCUUAAGCACUCGGUGAAGUAGGUGAACAAGCUGGAAAGCUUGGCGAUACAGGGUGAUAGCCCCGUAACCGACGCUUCAUCGAGCGUGAAAUCGAGUAGGGCGGGACACGUGAUAUCCUGUCUGAAUAUGGGGGGACCAUCCUCCAAGGCUAAAUACUCCUGACUGACCGAUAGUGAACCAGUACCGUGAGGGAAAGGCGAAAAGAACCCCUGUGAGGGGAGUGAAAUAGAACCUGAAACCGUGUACGUACAAGCAGUAGGAGCACCUUCGUGGUGUGACUGCGUACCUUUUGUAUAAUGGGUCAGCGACUUAUAUUCAGUGGCAAGGUUAACCGUAUAGGGGAGCCGUAGCGAAAGCGAGUCUUAACUGGGCGCUCAGUCUCUGGAUAUAGACCCGAAACCGGGUGAUCUAGCCAUGGGCAGGUUGAAGG